This 695-nucleotide ribosomal RNA is filed under the name uncultured bacterium. RNAcentral describes it as "bacterial SSU rRNA". It matches the Rfam family "Bacterial small subunit ribosomal RNA", at positions 140 to 851 of the family's 1533-position model. The record is from RNAcentral.
GGGACAACAGUUGGAAACGACUGCUAAUACCGCAUAAGCCCACGACCCGGCAUCGGGAAGAGGGAAAAGGAGCAAUCCGCUUUGAGAUGGCCUCGCGUCCGAUUAGCUAGUUGGUGAGGUAACGGCCCACCAAGGCAACGAUCGGUAGCCGGACUGAGAGGUUGAACGGCCACAUUGGGACUGAGACACGGCCCAGACUCCUACGGGAGGCAGCAGUGGGGAAUAUUGCACAAUGGGGGAAACCCUGAUGCAGCGACGCCGCGUGGAGGAAGAAGGUCUUCGGAUUGUAAACUCCUGUUGUUGAGGAAGAUAAUGACGGUACUCAACAAGGAAGUGACGGCUAACUACGUGCCAGCAGCCGCGGUAAAACGUAGGUCACAAGCGUUGUCCGGAAUUACUGGGUGUAAAGGGAGCGCAGGCGGGAAGACAAGUUGGAAGUGAAAUCCAUGGGCUCAACCCAUGAACUGCUUUCAAAACUGUUUUUCUUGAGUAGUGCAGAGGUAGGCGGAAUUCCCGGUGUAGCGGUGGAAUGCGUAGAUAUCGGGAGGAACACCAGUGGCGAAGGCGGCCUACUGGGCACCAACUGACGCUGAGGCUCGAAAGUGUGGGUAGCAAACAGGAUUAGAUACCCUGGUAGUCCACACCGUAAACGAUGAUUACUGGGUGUUGGAGGAUUGACCCCUUCAGUGCCGCAG